RNAcentral lists this ribosomal RNA (734 nucleotides) under uncultured cyanobacterium. Its description in RNAcentral is "bacterial SSU rRNA". It matches the Rfam family "Bacterial small subunit ribosomal RNA", at positions 1 to 785 of the family's 1533-position model. Lineage: Bacteria; Bacillati; Cyanobacteriota. The record is from RNAcentral.
GCUUAGAGUUUGAUCCUGGCUCAGGAUGAACGCUGGCGGCGUGCUUAACACAUGCAAGUCGAACGGUCUCUUCGGAGAUAGUGGCGGACGGGUGAGUAACGCGUGAGAAUCUGCCUUUAGGUUCGGGACAACAGUUGGAAACGACUGCUAAUACCGAAUGUGUCGCGAGAUGAAAGAUUUAUUGCCUAAAGAUGAGCUCGCGUCUGAUUAGCUAGUUGGUGGGGUAAAAGCGUACCAAGGCGACGAUCAGUAGCUGGUCUGAGAGGAUGAUCAGCCACACUGGGACUGAGACACGGCCCAGACUCCUACGGGAGGCAGCAGUGGGGAAUUUUCCGCAAUGGGCGAAAGCCUGACGGAGCAACGCCGCGUGAGGGAGGAAGGCUUUUGGGUUGUAAACCUCUUUUCUCAAGGAAGAUAAUGACGGUACUUGAGGAAUCAGCAUCGGCUAACUCCGUGCCAGCAGCCGCGGUAAUACGGAGGAUGCAAGCGUUAUCCGGAAUAAUUGGGCGUAAAGCGUUCGUAGGUGGUUUUGCAAGUCUGCUGUUAAAGCGUGUAGCUUAACUACAUAAUGGCGGUGGAAACUGCAAAACUAGAGUGCGUUCGGGGCAGAGGGAAUUCCUGGUGUAGCGGUGAAAUGCGUAGAUAUCAGGAAGAACACCGGUGGCGAAGGCGCUCUGCUAGGCCGCAACUGACACUGAGGGACGAAAGCUAGGGGAGCGAAAGGGAUUAGAUAC